Molecule: ribosomal RNA, 487 nt
Filed under: Microbacterium arborescens
Lineage: Bacteria; Bacillati; Actinomycetota; Actinomycetes; Micrococcales; Microbacteriaceae
Description: bacterial SSU rRNA
Rfam family: Bacterial small subunit ribosomal RNA
Source: RNAcentral
UAGUUGUGGGGUCCAUUCCACGGAUUCCGUGACGCAGCUAACGCAUUAAGUUCCCCGCGUGGGGAGUACGGCCGCAAGGCUAAAACUCAAAGGAAUUGACGGGGACCCGCACAAGCGGCGGAGCAUGCGGAUUAAUUCGAUGCAACGCGAAGAACCUUACCAAGGCUUGACAUAUAGAGGAAACGUCUGGAAACAGUCGCCCCGCAAGGUCUCUAUACAGGUGGUGCAUGGUUGUCGUCAGCUCGUGUCGUGAGAUGUUGGGUUAAGUCCCGCAACGAGCGCAACCCUCGUUCUAUGUUGCCAGCACGUAAUGGUGGGAACUCAUGGGAUACUGCCGGGGUCAACUCGGAGGAAGGUGGGGAUGACGUCAAAUCAUCAUGCCCCUUAUGUCUUGGGCUUCACGCAUGCUACAAUGGCCGGUACAAAGGGCUGCAAUACCGUGAGGUGGAGCGAAUCCCAAAAAGCCGGUCCCAGUUCGGAUUGAGGU